UUAAAAACCUUCAAUGAUGGUCAUUAAAUAUAUUUUUUGCAAAAUACAGGGGUGCUAACCUGAGGGGGUUUUUUUACCAAAUUCCAAAUUGAGUGCUGGGGAGGGGAGAAGAGGGAGUGAACUUUGCCAAUUUAAAAUUCAGAAUGAAUUUAGAUAUGCAAACUCUAAUCACUCAGGGUGAAAUUUGGUUAAUAUAAUAUCCCUCCUGAAAGCUAUCACUUAUAGAAUAGCUAUAGGAUGCUGACAUAGAAUGGCUGCAUUUUAUCAUUUGUGAGUCAUGUAAGCUCUGUAUAGUAUGUAUAGUCUGAAAGGGACUAUGAGACACUUGCUAUGAAUUAGGGAUUAUUAUUUUCAACUAACCAUUUUCUGUUCUGCUUUCCCUUUCUGAAUUUAUUGUUUUUGUUAUGUUUGCUUUGGCAUUCAUGUUUGAUGGUCCAGGGCCACAUGGUGAAUUUAGUUAUUAACCAAACUGCUCCUUGCACAGAUGGUACAAUCCAUUAAACAUACUCAAGACCUAUUGCUGGAUCAUUCCCUGAUUUUUUUA
Long non-coding RNA from Dermochelys coriacea (leatherback sea turtle), 544 nucleotides. RefSeq lists it as uncharacterized. The record is from RefSeq and is a predicted model, not a curated record. The transcript is spliced from 3 exons. Lineage: Eukaryota; Metazoa; Chordata; Testudines; Dermochelyidae.